CGAGGAGAAAAUCGACCAAUAUUUCGAGUAAGAGGAGUUGAGGAUCCAAAUUAAACUUCUAAGAAUGGCUUCCAUGCGCACGAUGUCACUUGAAGAGUCACAAUUUUGAGGCACCUUAAGGCCAGUUUACACCCGCAAUUUUUGUUGCGAUUUCUAUUGCGAUUUUUCUUCUGAGGGAUGUGAAUGAGUAAAUAAGUUAUAAAUGCUCUGAGUAUAUGUUCCCUCAUCUAAACAUUCCUAACUCAUUCACUCGUUCACAUACAUCAGGAGAAGAAAAUCGCACCUAAAAUCGCAGCAAAUAUUGCAUGUGUAAAUGGGUCUCUACAAGGAUUUUGUUUAUAGGAUUUUAUCACUCGCACUUGCAUUCUUUGGGAACAGCUAAUACUGUGUUCCCAAUUAAUUGAACGAAUACACCUCUAUUUUUAUCUUUAAACCAGCGUUGGUCAUUGCAUAUCAAAGAACAGCAGAUUAUAAUGGUUAUAAAUAUCGCUACGUUGUCACUCCUACACAUACGUCUGUUCGUUGGGUAGACUUCUAUAGAGCUGAGCAAGAAUGUGUCAAAUGGGGAGGACAUUUGACAAGUAUUCAUUCACAACAGGAGCUUAAUUUCGUUAAGG
Paramuricea clavata is the source of this 617-nucleotide non-coding RNA. Lineage: Eukaryota; Metazoa; Cnidaria; Anthozoa; Malacalcyonacea; Plexauridae. The record is from the annotation of a GenBank genome assembly.